UAACAACAGAUGAUGCCUAUCAACUGUUUAAAGUAUGGUUCUGCUAUCACUCUUGGGAUGGACCUGCGGUGCAUUAGCUAGUUGGUAGGGGUAACGGGCCGUACCAAGGCGAUGAUGCAUAGCCGAGUUGAGAGACUGAUCGGGCCACAUUGGGACUGAGACACGGGCCAAACUCCUACGGGAGGCAGCAGUAGGGGAAUCUUCCACAAUGGACGCAAAGUCUGAUGGAGCAAAACGCCGCGUGAGUGAAGAAGGGUUUCGGCUCGUAAAAGCUCUGUUGUUGGUGAAGAAGGACAGGGGUAGUAACUGACCCUUUGUUUGACGGUAAUCAAUUUAGAAAGUCACGGGCUAACUACGUGCCCAGCAGCCGCGGUAAAU
RNAcentral lists this ribosomal RNA (378 nucleotides) under uncultured Lactobacillus sp. RNAcentral describes it as "bacterial SSU rRNA". It matches the Rfam family "Bacterial small subunit ribosomal RNA", at positions 173 to 525 of the family's 1533-position model. Lineage: Bacteria; Bacillati; Bacillota; Bacilli; Lactobacillales; Lactobacillaceae. The record is from RNAcentral.